Molecule: long non-coding RNA, 1491 nt
Filed under: Homo sapiens (human)
Lineage: Eukaryota; Metazoa; Chordata; Mammalia; Primates; Hominidae
Description: HSALNT0028691
Source: RNAcentral
AGGGACGCCCCCACAGGUAGACGAAGAGGGUCCAGAGAAAGGUGGGGAUUCCCUAACCCCUUCUUUCUUGGCACAGACAGGCAGAGAACACCUCUUUUCUCACCCCUGGGCAGCCCCAGGAAGUCAAUCCUUCCACUAUUCCUGCUCCGUGCCUCUCUUCCCUCUGCCCAGAUUCCUGGGAGACUCAAAACCCUGUUCAACUCUCUCUGGGCUAGCUGCUCCCCUCCCCAAGAGGAUUUCUCUCCAGAGCUGGUAUCAUCGCUUAAUGAUGUUCCACCAACAAGGGGAAGAUUCAGCCAUGUCUUCCUAGGAUCCAGCAUCCAAACCUGGACCAAAGUCCUCGGAUCCUCAGCAAUGGGGGUGCAUCUGGUGAUGGUGUUCAUGCUAAAUUUGUGCCAAGAGACACCUGUACUUGUGGGAGAAUUAAUAUUUCACUUCUGUUUAGGUUUCUUUUCUGGGAGCUGCUAUCACUGAAUACAUAAAGAAAUUGAGCCUAUAUGAUUUCAAUCUUCACCUUCUGAUGCUGAUGAAACAGGAUUCUAUGCAGUUUUCCACAGGGAGAAGCAGCAGGCUGAAGUGGCUCUUUAGGGAGACACAUACCUCCACAGGAAGAGCAGUCUAGAUUGUUUUAGCACAUUCCACUUAAGGAUUGCAGUGUGACAGCAGAGAAAAUCCUCUCCAGUCAAGUAAUUGCAUCCAUUUCAUCUUCCCAGCCCUCCUCUAGAUGGGAGGUGGAGGUGUGUGUACCAAUCUCUUAAUUCAGAAAUGAGACAAGAGGAGGAAAAAGGAGUUCCGGAGGACAGUGGGGACCCCAGCCAGAGCCUGGGGACUUGGCUGCCUUGGAACCAGAACCUGGCCCCUCAGAGGAGUUGCAGAAUUUCGAUAGAGGAGUGGCAGGAGGUGUACUGGCUGAAGAGGAGGCCCAAGGAACUCCUUUUCAUACAUCAAAACUGAGCUUAUCACCUCUACCCUGAAGUCAUCCUGGACAUCACUGGUCCCAGUUAAUCACUCACUUAUCUUUGCCAUCCUUGACCUGGGAAGAGAACGUUGCCCUCAUUGGUCUGGAAUCAGCAGGUACCUCAUGGCUGGAGGUGUAUUUUCAGACUCCUUUGGCAUCUGGUGAGGCCUGUGGAUUCAUUCUCAGAAUCACAUUUUUAAAUGCACAUAAUAAAAUACAUAGAAUUGCAAAGGAAGUUAAUUAUAUUGAAAUACAGUUAUCAAAAAUAUAAAUAAAACAAGUAUGUGGUACAGUCAUAUGUGUGCUUCUUUAUUAAGUCAUUACAAAGCAAGAUCUAUUUGGAGGUCUAAUAACUGUCAUAUGCUUGAAAAAAUCCUUAACAAUCAUAAUAUAUUAAAAAAUCUGAUUUCUACUUUGGCAAAUCAUAGAUAUUGCUGAAACUGUGGUUUAUUGCCUGCAUUCAUAAUUGAAGGAAAUGCUAGAGUUCAGUGAGAAGGUUGUGAAAAUAAAGAGAGCCUUUUUUUCUCAUCAAG